GAGUAAAAUUGUGACAAUCAUAAUAAUUGAUAUAGGUCCUCGUGGAAUUGGAUUUGACUGUCACUUGGUAGACAUUCACCUUUGUCUGGUUGUUUUCACGUGUCCUGUCUCACUAAUUUAAGGUUUUGAGUCUAACUUGCAUGGACUACGUGGCACGUUUCACGGUGAUAUUCUGUAUACACUUUCCUCCAUAGGAUUCUAAACUAUGUGUGGAUUUACGAUUUGUCUACGUGCUGAUUGUCGAGUUUGUGAUUUUAUGCUUAUUGUUGGCUUCGAUUGCAUAUUUGGUUCCAUGCUAUUUUUUUUUUUUUUGGGAUUAUUUUCCACUAUUACGUAAUUCACUUGUUUUUUAAAAUAGUUUAGGGCAAAUUUCGUAAUUUGUUGAAUAUUGUGCCGUAUUUCUUAAAAUUCAAAUUUCUAGUGCUAUUUUUGACAUUUGGUUUCUCGCUCGAGUUUCGCCUAGCCUUCGCUCGAGCUACAAAAGCAGUUUGCUUGUCGCCCGAAUCUCGCUAAGGCCUCGCUCGAACGACGGGUCAAUUUUAAAAGGUCCUGUUUCAUUUUUUCGCGCAACUUCUUCCAUUUCACUCUUGUUUUUUCGUUUCUUCUUGACUUCUUCCAUAUUUCGUCCAUUGAUCACAUAAAUUCGGGGCCCUAAAACAAUUAUUCUUCCGGAUUUUCAUUGCUACACAUCAAAUUGAGGUAUUUUUUUCUUUUUUCUUUUUUUUCUUUCAUUCUCCUCGUGUGUUUUGCUUAUUUUUGUGUUCUUGUUUGAUUGUUCUUUCAUUAAUGUAGGCUUCGUCCUUCCUUUGUUUCAUUGGAUGUAAUUUCACGCGUUUUGCAUCACGAUUUCCAUUGAAUUGUUCGUUUUUCAUUCAUUUGGUUAUGUGGUUUUCAUGUUUUUCUUCCAUUUUCAUUAAGUCCGUUCUUGCAUUUCGUUACUCCGUUUCUUGCGUGGUUUGUUUCAUUUUAAAGAGCAUGUUUUCUAGUUUGUGGGACUGUGCUUGGUUGUGUGGUUGCGUCUCGUAUGUACUUGAAAUUGUGUACCAAAGUGAUGCACGCCACAUGUACAAUGCAAGUCCUUAGUUAUAUGUUUUUUUUUUUGUUUCCUUCAUUUUUGUGCUUCUAUUUUCUUUCUUUCCUUUCCGUCGUUGUUUCAUUGCCCUCCCGUGCCAUGUUGAGUGUUUUUACACAUAUUUUUGGUGUAUAUUUACAUCAUGCUUCGUUUGCUCUACGGGUCGUUCACGUUUUUCGAUGCAUCUCUUUCGUGCCUCGUUUAGCUGUGCAGUGUUUCACAUCAUAGUGCAUCGUAUCACGUGCAUUCUUCAUCUUACUUAUUAGUUCCGUCUCUCUGUAUGCCAGAUGGCCCGUAAGCAGUCUCGAUCCUCUGCAUAGCCAGCUGGUGGUUCGACGUCGUAUAGUCGUUCCAGAUUCAUUUCUGCUACAGCUCAGGAGGUCUUCACUUCUCAGUUCUCCUUACGCCCCGUUCUCGUGGAGCGUGAGAUAAUCUUAUCUGACCUUCCUGUUGAUAUCGUCGCCAUUUUUGUUUCCCGGGAUUGGGAGCCCCUUCUUGUUGGUCUUUCACCUCCUCCCCCACUCCUCGUUCAGGAAUUCUAUGCUAAUAUUCAUGAUAUAGACGGCUCGUCUUUUCGGGUUACUCUUAGAGGUCAUUCUUUUAGGAUUACUCCGUCGGUUGUAGCUCAUGCUUUAGGUAUACCUCAGAUUACCCAUCUGACUUGUCCCUAUAUUUUACCUGCUUCUAUUUCGGCCGAUGCUCUUGUUCGAUCGACGCUUUUGAACACCCCGUCUAUCGGGGGGCCUUCGGCGAUGGCCACGGGGUCAUUACCUACUGAUCGUCAGGUGUUGUUACACAUAGUGUGUACAAACCUGUGGCCGGUUACCCAUACCUCUUCAUUACCUAUGGUGCGUGCCCGUUUUCUUUAUGCCCUUCUUCAUGGGGACUCGAUCAACUUUCCUAAUUUUGUGUGCCAGAAUAUUCUGGCUUCAUUUCGUACUCCUGGGAGUCGGAUCGUGUUGCCUUAUGCUUGCUUGAUUCAUAAGGUUGCUUUGUCGUUGGGUGCUUCCUUUCCAGAGGGUUCGACUUGUCGCAUAGGACGUCCGAUAGGACAGCAGACCAUUCAUCAGAGUCGAUCCCAUGUACCGUCAUCUUCUCCUCUGCUCAUGCUACAGGUCAGGCAGCGGCCGUUGAUGUUUUGGAUCUUUCGGAGCCCUUUGAUCCUAUUACUGAGAUUCUUACUGGAGGUUCCCGUGUGUUUCUCCCGCCUCGUACGGAUUUUCCUUCGGCCAAUCCACUUAGUUCUACCUUUCCUUCGACAUCUAAUUCUGCUCCUGGGGUGGCUGCUUUGCCCGUUGACCCUAUGGUGACGCUUAUGGGACAGAUGUCUACUUUGGUCGAGCAGCAGGCUCGUAUGAUGGCAGAGAUCACGUAGUUACGUACUGCGUCGGAGCGUCAAUCAGCUGAGCUUUCUUCUUUUCGUCGUGCUCUUGCAGUGCUUUAGCGUCAUUUGCGUUGGAUUCGUGAUAGUAUGGAGGAGGACACGAGUGCUGAGAGCGGAGCUGAGUCUUCAGAUGCUGGAGGUGCUGCCUCGUAGUUAGUUAGUUAAUUGUUUUGAUCCUUUGUCCUUUGUGACAAAAAGGGGAGUAGAUAUUUGGAUAGAUAGAUAUAAAUUUUUUGGUGACUAGAUUAAGUUUUUGAUGUUUUGGCAAUACUAAUGUAUGUCUUUGGUGUUUUUGACUUACAUUAUUAUUGCUUCUUAAUCUGGUUAAUGAUAUAUGAUCUAUUUUUUGUUUUUAUUUACUGUUUCCAUUUCACAUGCUUUUACACUUGGUAUUUGAGUUUUUGAUUUUCAAGAAAUAGGUUCAACAAGAGAUUGCUAAUUUGGUUGAAUAGAUAGGUUGUUUGAAGUCAUGUUUAUUUCUUCCUUGACUGUCAUAUGUAUUUUUGUCACAGAAUGCCAAAGGGGAAGUUUGUUAGGAAAAUGUGUAAUUGGCAAUCUGUGACCAAAGGGCCUAUUUGUCAUGUUUGUAAAGUCAGGGACUAAAUUGUAAAGGUCAAAUAGUUCAGGGACUAGAGUUGCAAUUUAAUAAAUUUCAUAGCAUAGGUCUAGGGUAAAGUGGCAUGCUUUGAAGAUGCAAACGGCGCGUUGAUUUCGCUAGAGUUUCGCCUCGAGCCAAAAUUGCAGAACCGGUCUCGUUGGAGUUUCGCUGGGCAGUCGCUCGAACGAAGGUGCGUCGCUCAAGUUUCGCCAGCACCUCGCUCGAGCGACAGUGUUAUCUGGCCAUUGGUAAUUUUAAUGCCUCGCGAAUUUUUAACGCUCCAUAUUUCCAAAUUUGACCUACUAUAUAAACAAAACGUUCGACUUUCAUUAAAUACUUUUGGAAAACAUUCAAACAAGAACUUCUUUUAACUUCCAAAGGAUUUAGAGUCAAACAUUCGAUCUUUCUCAUCUUUUGAUUCUCAUGAUUUUUAAAUAAAAACAUCAACCAUCACAAAACAAAAAACACCCCUUCAUAUCUCCAUAUCAACUUCCAGAAGAUCAUCUGUUUGAAGAUCCGGGAAGGAAAUUGCUUGAAGAGCUGGAGUGCUUGGUGAUUCACGGGAAGUAGAAGAUAUUCAAGGUUGGGAUUUUAGCGCAGAUCUGCAGAAUCCAGGAGAGCUUUGGUUGAUACAGUAAGGAGGUCAGAGAAUUGUUAGUUUCAAUUAUGUCUGGCGUACUGUAAGUCAAUAUCUUCGAUAGUGGAUCUCUACUAGCUUGUGCCCGGAGUUUUUACCCAGUUGGGUUUUCUCCGUCAACAUUUUGUGGUGUUUUUACUGCUUUUUAUUAUUUAUUUUUCAACCGGUAAUUCAACUUAGGUAGAUAAAGUGUGUGAAUGAAUAUAAGCAAUGCAUAAUUUAUGUGACUUGUUGCAUAAGUUAAUUAAUUGUUUUAAUUCCGCAUAAACACCUAUUCACCCCCCCUCUAGGUGUUGGUUGGGUCGAACUAUAUCUUUUUCAGUUUAGAAAAUGGAUGGUAUAUGGUUCGUCUGAGAUACCUUGUUGGUGACACUCUGGAAAAUCAAGUUGUAUCUCAGGUUGGAACUUGAAGAAGGGGAACAGAUUUGUUGACUUGGAAACCACAUAAAAAUGGCUUAUUCACUUUUAAAUCUGCUUAGGAGGUAGUGAGGAUGCAGGAUGCUCAAGUUGAAUGGGCGACCUGGAUAUGGAACAACGCCCUGCCUAAGUGUGUUUCCGUGAUCAUGUGGAAAGCUCUUAAUGAAAGUCUAAGUGUUGAUGAACGCAUUAAGUCAGUCGGCAUUACUCUUGCAUCAAAAUGAGAUUGCUACUCCAUAGGCCAACGAGGAAAAUGCAUCUCAUGUUCUAGGCUCUAGCGACUUUGCGGACAAAAUGUGGAGGAAAGUAGGAGCUAUGGUGGGUGUGUGAUGGAGGGCAAGAAAAAUUGGAUGGAAAGAAUAAAUUUAUGGUAGGCAAGAGCAAAAAGAUCACCAAAGGUAGGAUGUUUGAUUGGUUUGCUCCCAAGUUUAAUUACUUGGAAGCUUUGGACAAGAAGAUAUAAAGCAAGGAUGGAGGAUAAGAAUGAAUAUGUUGAGGAUGUGCUUUUAUCUAUUAAAUUCUGGUUACAACAGGUUUCUCUUAACCUGUCAAAUGCAAAAGUGCUAACUAGUCAUGAUGAGUAUGUUCUUCAAAUGCUAGAGGUCCUCGAGCACCAAUCAUAACUAAGCAGAUUCGAGUGGUUUCGUUGAAAAAACCAUAUCAUAAUCUAGUGAAACUCAAAGUGGAUGGUAGCAGUCUUGGGAACCCUGGACAAAUUGAUGGGGGAGGAGUAAUAAGGAAUGCAAGAGGUGAAUUGAUUUUAGCUUUCAGUAGCAAUUUUGGUGAGGGGACCCACAACGAAGUUGAAUUGGGAGCACUUAUUGAAGGUCUAAAACUAUGUCGUGAGUUGGGCGUAAACCAUAUUGAUAUCGAGUGCGAUUCAUUGUUGGUAGUUUCAUAGACUUCAUCUUUGAAGUGUUCUUUGUGGCAUCUAUGGGACUUCUGGGAUAUCUUUUGAAUUUAUUACAGCAAUUUGAAUAUCAGGUGGCACAUCAAUGAAGUGAGGGGAACCAAGUGACAGAUCACUUAGCUAGAUUAUGAGCAAAAGGCCUAUGGAGACGUUUUAAUACCUGGACUGAUGUAUCAAGGAUUGCUCGAGGGUUACUUUGUCUAGAGAUGAUGGGGGUAGCGUAUUGGAGGAAGUGAGAUGUAGAACAGGCUAUGGUAGUGGUGUCUUUUGUGAUUGAAGGUGUUUUAGUUCACAUGUUUUGAUAACUGUUUUGGUAUAGCGACGUUGUUUGAGUCUUUCAUCACGGUUUUCCUCCAUCACAAAUGAGGGAUUUUUAAUAAAUUAUUACUUAAUUAAAAAAAAAUGCAGCAUCAACUCAGGAUUUUCAUCCACAAGAUCUAUCUUCAUCAAUUACGAGAGUGAAUUCCUCCUAUGUUAACUUUAAUGUCCAAUGAAUUCAAAUUUGUCUCAGCACAAUCCACUUGAGCAUGUGAAUUGUGACGGCAAAAGAGAAAGGGUCAAAGAUGUGUGAGCUCAAUGAAUAGUCGUGUAUCGACCACAAGAUUAUUAAGCCGACAAAACUCUCUUUAUAUAUAUUGCCUUCCAAAUGCUACAAUUGAAAUAUUCCUUCUAAGCAUCAUCUUGUAGUCGGUUGUUCUACUCAACCCAAAUACAGUUAAUGGAAAUUCAACUAAUACUUUAAAUGAAAAUUACCUUCAAUCCCUGUGUAAGGGUCCGAUCCCCAGGUCCAUGGUUUUUGAUCCAUACAUCCGCAAGAACAUCAUUUCCUAAUGCAUCCUUGGCUACGAUUCCACCACCAGACCCUCCAGUCCUGCUCUUGGUUCGCAUUAACAUGUAACAUUGUGAUGUAAGAAAUGACAGAGCAAAGAAACUAGUCAACAUAGUAUAGACAAAACGUGAAUUGGCAAAGACUGCACGGAAAUUUCCCAGUUCACGAAACAGAAGAACAAAAAGAAGACAGGCUAUUGUUUUACAUCCAUUAAUGAAAGCAAUUGAAUUUAUAGCCUUAUAUAGGAUAAAAAUAGAAAGUAAAUGUUACACCAUAUGAUUAUUAGGUGACCAUC
Molecule: long non-coding RNA, 6142 nt
Filed under: Olea europaea subsp. europaea
Lineage: Eukaryota; Viridiplantae; Streptophyta; Magnoliopsida; Lamiales; Oleaceae
Source: RNAcentral